CCUACGGAAGGCAGCAGUGAGGAAUAUUGGUCAAUGGACGAGAGUCUGAACCAGCCAAGUAGCGUGAAGGAUGACUGCCCUAUGGGUUGUAACCUUCUUUUAUAAAGGAAUAAAACGAGGCACGCGUGACUUUUUGCAUGUACUUUAUGAAUAAGAAUCGGCUAACUCCGUGCCAGCAGCGGCGGUAAUACGGAGGAUCCGAGCGUUAUCCGGAUUGAUUGGGUUUAAAGGGAGCGUAGAUGGGUUGUUAAGUCAGUUGUGAAAGUUUGCGGCUCAACCGUAAAAUUGCAAUUGAUACUGGCAGUCUUGAGUACAGUUGAGGUAGGCGGAAUUCGUGGUGUAGCGGUGAAAUGCUUAGAUAUCACGAAGAACUCCGAUUGCGAAGGCAGCUUACUAAACUGCCACUGACAUUGAUGCUCGAAAGUGUGGGUAUCAAACAGGAUUAGAUACCCGGGUAGUC
RNAcentral lists this ribosomal RNA (460 nucleotides) under uncultured bacterium. Its description in RNAcentral is "partial 16S ribosomal RNA". It matches the Rfam family "Bacterial small subunit ribosomal RNA", at positions 338 to 795 of the family's 1533-position model. The record is from RNAcentral.